This 155-nucleotide ribosomal RNA is filed under the name Dodonaea hackettiana. RNAcentral describes it as "5.8S ribosomal RNA". It matches the Rfam family "5.8S ribosomal RNA". From Rfam's summary of the family: 5.8S ribosomal RNA (5.8S rRNA) is a component of the large subunit of the eukaryotic ribosome. It is transcribed by RNA polymerase I as part of the 45S precursor that also contains 18S and 28S rRNA. Lineage: Eukaryota; Viridiplantae; Streptophyta; Magnoliopsida; Sapindales; Sapindaceae. The record is from RNAcentral.
AAAACGACUCUCGGCAACGGAUAUCUCGGCUCUCGCAUCGAUGAAGAACGUAGCGAAAUGCGAUACUUGGUGUGAAUUGCAGAAUCCCGUGAACCAUCGAGUCUUUGAACGCAAGUUGCGCCCCAAGCCUUUAGGCCGAGGGCACGUCUGCCUGG